Molecule: long non-coding RNA, 1449 nt
Filed under: Gallus gallus (chicken)
Lineage: Eukaryota; Metazoa; Chordata; Aves; Galliformes; Phasianidae
Description: lncRNA (ENSGALG00010026860.1)
Source: RNAcentral
CAAUUAUCAGCUUAAGGCAAAGUUGCUGGAAUGGUUACAGGCAGCCAGUUGCUUUGUGGGAAUCUGAUAUGCACCUGGCAAGCACAGGGAGCAGUGCGCCGUUGCUUGUAGUGUUCUGCCCGCCCAAGGGACCAUCGUCGCAGGUCAAGUUCUUUGUGGGUUUCCAGAAACAGUUCAGGUGCCACUCUCUGGCUGCCCCAGCACUGCCAAAGGUGACGUGAACUUUUUUUUAAAUACCUCCACAGAGAAUUUUUACGGCUGCACUGAGCUCCAAAGGUUGGAGCAGAGAAAUAUGAACCCAUGACCUCCGCAGCUGAAACCCUGGGACUCCACAGGAGCUCUGCAGUUUGUUUACUCUGAGGCAGGAUUUGCUGCCAGGUUUGAACCCCCAAGACUUCUUACUGCUGCACCUUGACGGUCUCCCUGUUGGACACACUGCAUUCUAUUCAUAUUUGACAACUGCUCCACGCAGAAUAACUAGGUGUGAUCGUGGAGUCCAGCAAUGGAAAUCAUUUACCUGUUGGGUAAUGGUCUCAUUUUUCUGCAGAAUCCAGACCACUGGCUUUACUGAAGUUAUGAUGGACAGAGAACGAGGAAGCUCGCUUUGUGAAGAAAUCUAAUGGCCGCUGUUCCCUCUUCAUGUCACUUCACUGACUUCUGGGCAACCGCAGCAGCACUGAAGCCCACUCCAAUGGGAGUCUUCUAAGCAGUGUAAAAUACAACACCUGGACAUUAUGAUGGAAGAUCAAUGACCUGUUGCAGAUUAUGCCGGCUACUGUGAUCCCAAUGGCUUUCCUGUGCUCAUCCUCACUGUGACUGGCUGGAAAUGUCAGCAAACCACAUGGAAUGGUUGCAAAUCACUCUGUCCUCAAAGACUGAGAACAACUGCAGCUUGUAAAAUGCAACAAUAAGGACACCAUUGGUAUCUGUUCCAGCUCGUUCAUAUGUCAACAACGACAUCACACAGGAAGAUGUCCUGAACGCCUAGCAAAAGGUUUCCAUAUAGUUUUGGGGAGGAAUGUGGCUUUUCAGAAAACUGUGAGUUCACGUUCAUCUGGACCCUGUCACUGCCGAGGAUGUGGGAAGUUUAAAACCUGCUGCGUACAGAUAAGGGAGACAUUACAGUGUGCUCUAUUACUUACUGACCUGCCUGGAAAUCCCUCAGCAAAAGAAAUGAAGUUGUGCCCUGCUACCCUCAUACACCCAAUUUGUGUGUGGCCCAGUUUCUGACUACUCAUAAAGUAGCCUCUGUUUUAGAGGAUCCAACUUCUCAGUCUCUCCAUGGGCAAAGCCAGGAUUUUUUUGGGUUUGCGCCUGCUGCUGUCUUUGGGAUCUGCCUUACUGCUCCUUCUUGAAUUAGAAAGUAUGCACUACUGGCAGCUAGAAGCACAGUCUCCUCUCUCCACAUAAGGCCAAAGACUCAUUUCUUCUCUUCUAGUUUAAAUAAAG